GCCCACUGAAAUUUUUAAAUGGCCGCAGUAAUUUGACUGUGCAAAGGUAGCAUAAUCAUUAGUUUUUUAAUUAAAAGCUUGUAUGAAAGGUUGGACGAAGUAAAAUCUGUCUCUAUUUAAAUUAAAUUAGAAUUUAAUUUUUAAGUUAAAAAGCUUAAAUUUUAAUAAAAGACGAGAAGACCCUAUAGAGCUUUAUAAUUUAAUUAAAUAUAAUAAAUUAAGAUUUAUUUAAGUUUUAUCAAUUAAAUUAUUUUAUUGGGGUAAUAGGAAGAUUAAAUAAAUUCUUUUUUAAAAUUAACAUUUAUUUAUGAUAUUAAUGAUCCAUUUUUAGUGAUUAUAAGAUUAAGUUACCUUAGGGAUAACAGCGUAAUUUUUUUAGAGAGUUCAUAUCGAUAAAAAAGUUUGCGACCUCGAUGUUGGAUUAAAGAUUAGUUUAGGUGUAGAAGUUUAAAUUUUUGGUCUGUUCGACCAUUAAAUCUUUACAUGAUCUGAGUUCAGACCGGUGUAAGCCAGGUCGGUUUCUAUCUUUAUUACAUUUAAAUAUUUUAGUACGAAAGGACCAAAUAUUUGAUAUAUUUAUAUUUAAUUUUUGAAUAUUAAUAUUAUUUUGGCAGAUUAGUGCAAUAAAUUUAGAAUUUAUAUAUGUAAUUAUAUUUUACAGAUAAUACUUGUUUUAUAUAGAUUUAUUAUUUUCUUUAAUUUGUAUAUUAUUAUUAUUAAUUUGUGUUUUAGUUGGAGUUGCUUUUUUAACUUUAUUAGAACGUAAAGUUUUGGGUUAUA
This 780-nucleotide ribosomal RNA is filed under the name Pterostichus praedo. RNAcentral describes it as "partial 16S rRNA". The stretch from base 1 to 552 matches the Rfam family "Bacterial large subunit ribosomal RNA", at positions 1907 to 2925 of the family's 2925-position model. The record is from RNAcentral. Lineage: Eukaryota; Metazoa; Arthropoda; Insecta; Coleoptera; Carabidae.